ACCCCACUAUUAGCUCUCAAGGUAAACUCUAAGCACUACGGUUUUAGAACUAAAACUUAAAUAACAUGGCGGCGAGCUUAAAUUUCAGAGGAACCUACCAGGUAAAUGAUAACCCGCAAAAUAUUCUUACUUUACCUAAAAGUUUAUAUAUCGCCGUCUAGUAAUCUUUCGAGAAGGCUACGAAAAGUAUUAACAAAAAGACAGGCCAUGACAUAGCACAUGGUAAAGACUUGAGGUGGGUUACAAUAAGGGGUUCUUUCGGAAAAUUGCCUAAAGGCAACUUUAAGAUGGAUUUGAAAGUAAUAAUUAAUAUAAAUAUAUAAUGAAUCUUCCUGAGGUCGUGUACACACCG
RNAcentral lists this ribosomal RNA (352 nucleotides) under Haloa sp. 2 TRO-2019. Its description in RNAcentral is "partial small subunit ribosomal RNA". The record is from RNAcentral. Lineage: Eukaryota; Metazoa; Mollusca; Gastropoda; Cephalaspidea; Haminoeidae.